RNAcentral lists this ribosomal RNA (460 nucleotides) under uncultured bacterium. RNAcentral describes it as "partial 16S ribosomal RNA". It matches the Rfam family "Bacterial small subunit ribosomal RNA", at positions 338 to 795 of the family's 1533-position model. The record is from RNAcentral.
CCUACGGGUGGCAGCAGUGAGGAAUAUUGGGCAAUGGACGAGAGUCUGAACCAGCCAAGUAGCGUGAAGGAUGACUGCCCUAUGGGUUGUAAACUUCGUUUAUAUGGGAAUAAAACGUUCCACGUGUGGGAUUUUGUAUGUACCAUAUGAAUAAGGAUCGGCUAACUCCGUGCCAGCAGCCGCGGUAAUACGGAGGAGCCGAGCGUUAGCCGGAUUUAUUGGGUUUAAAGGGAGCGUAGGUGGGUUGUUAAGUCAGUUGUGAAAGUUUGCGGCUCAACCGUAAAAUUGCAGUUGAAACUGGCAGUCUUGAGUACAGUAGCGGUGGGCGGAAUUCGUGGUGUAGCGGUGAAAUGCUUAGAUAUCACGAAGAACUCCGAUUGCGAAGGCAGUUCACUGGACUGCAACUGACACUGAGGCUCGAAAGUGUGGGUAUCAAACAGGAUUAGAUACCCUGGUAGUC